GCCAAUCCCCCGGGGGGGGGGCGGUCCAUCCGCAGGGGCUGGAAGAUCGGGUUGGUGCCCAUGGCCGGAGCGCUUAAAACCCUUAGAAACCCUCAUAAACCGUCAGCUCCAGACCUUCAAAUGUCAGCCCGAGAGACACCUAAUCUCCAACCUAAAAAAAAAAAAAAAAAACACACCCGUUGCCAUCGAGUCAAUUCUGACUCAUAGUGACGCUAUAGGACAGAGUAGAACUGCCCCACAGUUUCCAAGGAGCGCCUGGUGGAUUCAAACUGCCAACCUGGGUAACCACUACGCCACCAGGGUAACCCACUAAACCUACUGCCACCAGGGUAGAGGCUCCAAAUCCCGCCAGUGUGAGGAACCCUCAAAUCCCCUCAGCACCAGAGACCCCGUCCACAGUGACCGGUACACAGCGCCGCACAAACGUUUAAGUUAACAAACGACCUGGUUGCUCAGGACCCCUUCCUGCUACCCCCACCCCCGCCACCCAGAGGGGGAGCGGGACCCGGCAUCCACACUGUUAACAGACACUGAAUCGCUGCUGCUUCCACAAGGAGUAGGAUCCCCACGCUGCUCCACAGAUUCCCAGGACCCCUUCCUUUCCUGGUGGGGCCGCGCCGACGCCCCAGCCCCAAGAGUAGACCGGCCAGGCGCGGGCGCGGGGUGCCUCAGCCUCCCAGGCACAGCGCCCAAAACAAUAAGGGGCAGCAUGGCCUUGGGCGGGGGAUCCCUCUCUCCCCUGUCCGUGGCACCCUACGGAGUCUGGUGGGGGUGGGAGGAGGAAUGGGGGCGAGUGCCCCGCCCUCAGUCUGGAAUCUCACCCUCCCGGACGAACUCUAGGCCUUGGUUUCCCCUCUGGCAGAGGGAGCAGGUGGGGGGCGGGGUGGGCAGGCCCCCAUCCCCCAGCUUGGCCCGCAAACCCGCCCCGGGCAGAGUAGGGACCUGGGCGCAGCCCUGGACACGGCCUUUCUCCCCAAGCCCUUCAAGCCCCCAGGCCCGAGGGCACUCCGCAGCUGGAUCCCGUGGCUGGACCCCCCUCCCCCGCUGCAAAGCCAUGGGGAUGCAAAUUUCCCGGACCAGCUGCGUCUCCCGGGCCAGAGGCUCCCUCUCGCAGCCCGUAGAGUGGCUGCAUCCGCCCGCCCCCACGCAGCGUCCGCCCCCGAGGAUCACUCGGGAUGGGGUAAGCUGGAGGGGGCGACGCGAGCUGCUAACCCAACGUCCGGACUCUCCAACCUCUGGAGCCCACGGGAUGCUGGGACUGGGACCCGCACUCCUGGUGCCUUCCCUCCACACCUUCGAGGGGCCAGGCUUGUUCAGUCUGGGAGCUGGUCCCUCCACCCAGCUGCCGGAGUUUCAUACCUUUCAGAGAACACGGCAGGGAAAGCAGCACGAACAGCAUCCUCUCUAAGGCGCGCCAUCCGGCCCGGACCCCUCACCACCCGUCCCAGCGCUUCCGGGAGUAACUGGCUAGAUGGCGUGGAACAUGGCUGCUGGCCCGGCCCAGCGGCCCGGGUGUGGGGCGGGCGUGGGGGGGGUUGGGCCUCCAGAGGGAAGGGUGGGGUCUAGAAGCAAGGAGAAUGCCAAGGUGUGCGGGGUGAGGAGACGGGAGACGUCAGGAGAGGGCCCUCUCGCGUGCAGAGUUAAGUAUUGGAGGUGCAACGGUUAAGUGCUUGGCUAACUGAAAGGUGGGCCGUUGGAACCCACCAGCUCAAGGGUUGAAAAGAUCUGGAGAUGGGCUCCCGUAAAGAUUCUAACCAAACAAAAUCCAAACCAGUUGCUGUUGAAUCAAUUCCGACUCAUAGUGACCCUAUAGGGCAGAGCAGAACUGCCCCAUAGGGUUUCUAAGACUAUAAGUCUUUACAGAAGCAGACUGCCAUGUCUUUCUGCAAAGAACCAACUGGUAGAUUCGAACUGUCCACCCUUUGGUUAGUGGCCAAGCUCUUAACCACGGGGCCACCAGGGCUGUGCCAUAAAGACUGCAACCUAGGAAACCUUGUGAGGCAGUUCUAAGUUGUCAUACAGGGUUGAUAUGAGUCAGAAUCUCUUGAUGGCACACAACCAUGAUUGUACUAAGAAAAAUUCCUCCAAGCAGCUGUCUACAUGACCCCUGAAGCACACAUGCAUGCACGCUAUCAAAGCAGUGCGGCCAAAGACAGGAAAUUGGAAAAGAGACAUUAUAGAGUGGGCAGUGAAAAGGGAUUUCUGAGGGACAUGCAGCUCAAGCAGAGGAGGUAGCAUACAACUAAAUGCCCUUCUCCUUCUAUUGUUCAAUGGUCUUGAGAAAGAAUGUGUCCCAGGAAUUAACUGUAGCCCAGGAGAACUUGAAGACAGCAAAUACAGAGGACCAGUCAGGAUGCUUCUGCAGUGGUCAGGGUGAGGAGUGAUGGUGGUAGUGCAGGUGGGAACAGUGGGCAGGCUUGAGGUGUACUUUGGAGCUUGAGCUGCCAAGAAUUGCUGGUGGAUCAGAUGUAUGGGAUGAGGGGAACGGAGAAUCAAAGGUGACUUCUAGAAUUCAGGCUACCAUGAGCGCAUGGUCACCAGAGCUAUUCUCUACCAUGUGGAAAACCAUGGAGGAACAAACUUGAGAAAAUGACCAAACGAUUUUUUCUGGACAUGUUAGAUUUGGAUGUCUGAGGUCAUCCAAGUGUGAAGAACAGUUCCCAGCUGUGGAUACCACUCAGAGGUAGAGUAGUUUUCUGGGUUCUAAGAAUUUGGAGAUCAUCAGCCUAUAGCUGAUUUGAAAGCCACUGGUGGUGCGAUGAUUAUGCAUUUGGGUGCUACCAAAAGGUCUGCAGUUUGAAUCUACCAGUCACUCCUUGGAAACCCUGUGGGGAAGCUCUACUCUGUCCUAUAGGGUCCCUAUGAGUCAGAAUCCACUCGACAGCGACUUUUUUGUUUUGUUUUAAUACUAAGCUCAGAAAAGUUGUGUGUCAGGGUUGUAUUUUUUCACAAUACUUAUUCAAGCAGUUCGAAUCUACCAGCCACUCCUUGGAAACCCUAUGGGUCAAUUCUACUCUGUCCUUUAGGGUUGCUAUGAGAUAGAAUCGACUCAACAGCAAUGAACUUAGUCUUAGAGGAGCCCUUUGUCUGUCAAAGCUGAGAGUUUUACUUCAUACUUUUUAAAACUGCCAUGUCUCAUGUUACGUGGCUACCCUUACAGGAGCAUUUUUGGUGCUAACUUGACUUGUUCUUGGUGAAGGGCUCUGUAUUCAUUUUCUAGGGCUGCCAUAGUAAAUUACCAAAAACUCAGUGUCUUUAAAAAAACAUAUAAUCCAAACAGUCCAAAAAGCUGGAUUAUAUGAAGAAGAAGGGGCCUCAGGAUUGGAGGAAGACUCAUUAACAGCCUAGACAUGCAGAUGACACAACCUUGCUUACUGAAAGUGAAGACGACUUGAAGCACUUACUGAUGAGGAUCAAAGACUUCAGCCUUCAGUAUGGAUUACACUUCAACAUAAAGAAAACAAAAAUCCUCACAACUGGAACAAUAAAAAAAUCACAGUAAACAGACAAAAUACUGAAGUCAUCAAGGAUUUCAUUUUACUUGGAUCCACAAUCAACACCCAUGGAAGCAGCCGUCAAGAAAUCAAACGACAUAUUUUAUUGGGCAAAUCUGCUACAAAAGACCUCUUUAAAGUGUUAAAAAUCGAAGAUGUCACUUUGAGGACUAAGGUGUGCCUGAACCAAGCCAUGAUAUUUUCAAUCGCCUCAUGUGCAGCUAAAGCUGGACAAUGAAUAAGGAAGGCAAAAGAACAGAAACUUGAAUUAUGUUGUUGGUGAAGAAUAAUGAAUAUACCAUGGACUGCUAGAAGAAUGAACACACCUGUCUUGGAAGAAGUACAGCCAGAAUGCUCCUUAGAAAGGUGGGUGGCAAGACUUGGUCUCACGUCCUCUGGACAUAUUAUCAGGAGUAAUCAGUCCCUGGAAAAAGACAUUGUGCUUGGUAAAGUAGACGGUCAGUGAAAAAGACAAAGAUCCUCAAUGAGACAGAUUGAGACGGUGGCUGCAACAGUGGGCUCAAACAUCGCAAUGAGAAAGGCCCAGGGCUGGGCACUGUUCCGUUCUGUUGUACACAGGGUCGCUAUGAGUUGGAACUGACCCAACAGCACCUAACAACAACAUCAUAAACUCACUAGAUCUCCUGGGGAUAGAAUGUCAUAUUCAGUGUAGAAUAGAUAGAGUUUCUUUGUUUGUUUGUUUACCAUAUUUACUAUCACUUACAUUUGAUAACUUCCACAUUCUGUUGGAUCGCUUUUCUUUGGAAUGGAUACAAACGUGCAUCUCUUGCAGUCUGUUGGCCAGGUAGCUAGCUUCCAAAUUUCUUUGCAUAGUGGAGUGGGCAUGAACAGUGCUGCAUCUGUUCGUUGAACCAACUCAGUGGGUAUUCUGUCAGCUCCUGGAGCCUUGUUUUUCACCAGUGCCUUCAGUGUAGCUUGGACUUCUUGCUUCACUACUACCAGUUCUUGAUCAUAUGCCACCUCAUGAAAUGACUGAAAGUUGACCAUUUCUUUUGGUACUGUGACUCUGUGUAUUCUUUCCAUCUUUUGUGUGUGUGCUUUAAGUGAAACUUUACAAAUCAAGUCAGUCUCUCAUACAAAAAUUAGUAUACAGCUUGCUAUGUACUCCUAGUUCCUCUCCCACUAAUGAGACAGCACACUCCUUCUCUCAGCCCUGUAUUCCCCAUGUCCAUUCAGCCACUUUCUGUCCCCCUCUGCCUUCUCAUCUCCCCUCCAAACGGGAGCUGCCCACAUAGUCUCAUGUGUCCACUUGAGACCAGAAGGUCACUCCUCACCACUAUCAUUUUCCAUGCUAUAAUCCAGUCCAAUCCCUGUCUGAAGAGUUGGCUUUGGGAAUAGUUCCAGUCUUGGGCCAACAGAAGGUCUGGGGAUCGUGACCUCUAGGGUUCCUCUAGUCUCAGUCAGAUCAUUAAGUCUGAUUUUUUUAUGGGACUUUGAGGUCUGCAUCUCACUGCUCUCGUGCUCCGUCAGGGAUACUCUGUUUCGUUCCCUGUCGUAGCAGUCUUCAGUUGUAGACGGGCACCAUCUAGUUCUUCUGGUCUCAGGCUGAUGUAGUCUUGGAUUUACGUGGCCAUUUCUGUCUUUUGGACUCAUAAUUACCUUGUAUCUUUGGUGUUCUUCAUUCUCCUUUGCUCCAGGUGGGUUGAGACCAAUUGAUGCAUCUUAGAUGGCCGCUUGAUAGUGUUUUUAAGACUGCAGACGCCACUCACCAAAGUGGGAUGCAGAAUGUUUUCUUAAUAGAUUUUAUUAUGCCAAUUGACCUAGAUGUCCCCUGAAAACAUGGUCCCCCUACUGCUGCCCCUGCUACUCUGACCUUUGGAGCUUUUGGUUUAUUCAGGAAACUGCUUUUGGUUUAGUCCAGUUAUGCUGACCUCUCCUUUAUUGUAUGAUGUCUUUCCCUUCACCUAAAAUAGUUCUUGUCUACUAUCUCAUUUGCGAAUAUCCUUCUCCCUCCCUUUCUCCCCACCCUCAUAACCAUCAAAGAAUAUUUUCUUCUCUGUUUAAACUAUUUCUUGAGUUCUUAUAAUAGUGGUCUCAUGCAAUAUUCGUCCUUUUGCAACUGACUAAUUUCACUCAGCAUAAUGCCCUCCAGAUUCCUCCAAGCUAUGAAAUAUUUCACGGAUUCAUCAUUGUUCUUGAUCUAUGUGAAGUAUUCUAUCGUGUGAAUGUACCACAAUUUAUUUAUCCAUUCAUCUGUUGGUGGGCACCUUGGUUACUUCCAUCUUUCUCCUAUUGUAAACAGUGCUGCAAUGAACAUGGUUGUGCAUAUAUCUGUUCAUAUAAAGGCUCUUAUUUCUCUAAGAUAUAUUCCAAGGAGUGGGAUUGCCAUAUGCUAUGGUAGUUCUAUUUCUAGCUUUUUAAGGAAGUGCCAGAUUGAUUUCCAAAGUGGCUGCACCAUUUUAAACUCCCACCAGCAGUGAAUAAGUGUUCCAGUCUCUCUACAACCUCUCGAACAUUUAUUAUUUUGUGAUUUGGGAUUAAUGGCAGCCUUGUUGGAGUGAGAUGGUAUCUCAUUGUAGUUUUGAUUUACAUUUCUCUAACGGCUAAUGAUUAUGAGCAUUUCCUCAUGUAUCUGUUACCUGCCUGAAUGUCUUCUUCGUUGAAGUGCCUAUUCCUAUCCUUUGCCCAUUUUUAAAAUGGAUUAUUUGUCUUUUUGUUAUUGAGUUUUUGCAAUAUCAUGUAGAUUUUAGAGAUCAGAUGCUGAUCGGAAAUGUUAUAGCUCAAAACUGUUUCCCAGGCUGUAGGCAAUCAGUUUACUCUCCUGGUGAAGACUUUGGAUGAGCAUAAGUGUUUCAUUUUUAGGAGUUACCUAAUUUCUCUUUGGGUACUUGUACAUUGUUAGUAAUGUUUUUUGUUACAAUCCCACCCUAAUCCUCUUUAACAUAAAAUUACAAUCACAAAAUGGAGGACAACUACAGAACACUGGGAAUCAUGGCCUAACCAACUUGGUACACACAUUUUUCGGGGGGGACAUAAUACAAUCCAUGACAUCCACCUUUUAGUAUAUUUUGGGGACUGGCUCUUUUAGUCAGAAACAGGUUGAAUAAAAGUGCUUACUUACCAGCAGUUUCCCGACAGUGUUGGUGACGGAUCCCCAGUUGGAUACACACAAUCACACUGACUGCAUUUGCGGUGCCUCAGCAAGUCCCACUUGCCUUCGUAACACUGAUCUCUAGAACAAAACACAGCUCUGUAAGCAAGUCAGUUAAAAAUAAAGGCAUUGGAUAUUGAACAUCACUAAAGACAUAAGUGCAUAUUGGUUCUGUGUUGGUUGCCAGAAUCUAAUUCUCUUAAUUAAUUCAUAUUUUUUGUAGAUAUUUUUCUUGCUCCAUAUACCCAGAGUUCUGUGUACAUAUAAUGAACAUUCUACACGUAGGUUUCUCACAAAUAUUACCCAAUGUCAUUCAUUUUUUUGACCAUUCACUCAAUGUUCAAGAAUAAAUUGAAGUAUAGGAAAUAUUCUUAUGGUUAUUUAACUCUAAGGAUGAAGAAAUUGCAUAGCGGGUCUUGGCUCCCUUUAGAAAUUCUCUACCUGAUGCAGUUCCACACAGCAACACGGACCUUCAUCUCAGCACAGGAAGAAAGACAGCUUUGUCUCAAUAUCUGCCACUGCUCUUCACCUUCUACUAAGGAAACUCAGGAAUCAAAUAUUUUAUACUGUCCAGCAAUGCUUACACUGUAAGUAUAAAGUGGGAGCCAUUAUAACGUUAAGGGAAAUAUCAUUGAUACAAUGUUGGCUUUUUAAUUAGGCAGAUUUGUCUUUGUAAUCCCACUCUGCCCUUAAUUGGCUGAUGACUUUAAGUAUGCUUCUUUACUUUCCGUAGCCUUGAUUUACUCACCCACAGAAUGGGACGAUGACCUUCAUCUGGAAAGAAUAUACAUAUAUACAUAUAUACAGACGUAUGAAGCUUACUUCUGACAAUACUAACAAAUAUUGCUAUUUUUUUUUUUUUGCCUUCUUUACUCCAAGCUUCUAGACGGUUUACUCAGUUACAUUUCCUUCCUUCCUUUCUUCUUUCUUUCUAUGCUGCCUCUUUUUUUUUCCCUUUCAGUUUUAUUGUGAAUUCAUAAACGCUAGGUUGAAUUUCAGUGUUUAUAUGCUAUUGGGGGUAUGCAUAUAAGUAAGCAAAUUUAGCUUCCUGAAAUUGAAAUGUAGGUAAUUCCUGCACUGUCUGCCUCACAUGACAUGCGAAAGUUAUUUAAAAUAGUAAGAAAAUAUAAAUAUGUUACUUAUUAUCUAUUGAAUCCAUACAUCAGGCUAGAUAAUUUAACUGUCAUGUUGAAGUGAUAAAUUUAUAAAUAUAGAUAUUAAUAUUUUGUUAUUAAUGUAAGAAGAGUAAGUUAGACACCUAAUAUGAAGAGCAGGUAAGGAUUUCAAAAGGAUUGGUUCUCAGAAGAGUAGGACUAGAACAGUAAUAAACAAAAGGUAAAAUAUGUUCGUAGCAGGAACAUACAGAAGGUUGCUUCUACAAUGGUGUUUAAAAUAGAAUAAUGUAUAUUUGAUUAGACAAUCAUUUAUGGGAAUAAAAAGAUUAAGAAAAUUUAUCCUUACCUGCAAAAUCUUAGAACCGAAAAACCAAACCAAACCCAGUGCCGUCGAGUCGACUCCACUCCUACUCAUGGCGACCCUAUAGGACAGAGUAGAACUGCCCCAUAGAGUUUCCAAGGAGCGCCUGGAGGAUUCAAACUGCUGACCCUUUGGUUAGCAGCUGUAGCACUUAACCACUAUGCCACCAGGGUUUCCACAAAAUCUUAGAAGCAGCAACAUAUUCAUCAUAUUUCAUCCAGAACAUUCCUGAUGUCCUGCAGUCAUGCAUUUAAAGUCAUUUUUGCAGAAACAUUCAUUUUUAUAGCUACUUACCUUCCUGGUGAUUACAUCAUUGGCUCAUAAAGACGAGAAAAAGAACCAAAUGCAAUUUGGCUGUCUUGACUGGGUCCCAAAGAAGACUAUUAAGUUAAACAAAUGAAUAGAAACAUCUUAAAUAAGCAAUAUCUUCUAUGUGCAACUGCUUGUGUGUGGCACCAGGAAAAUAAACACUAAUCAAGGUAAUUUUAAUUCCCAGUGAAAUGAAACAUCAUAUGGAAACAUGGGGAUUUUACUCUCCCUUGAUAAUUAUAUCAUCUAGAAUCAUCUCAUGUGAGAUUUUUAUCAUAAAGGAAGGGUCCAUGGAAAGGAAAUGCCUGACUGGAGCCCGCUGUGGAUUAUUCUUAAUUGCCUCUCCACUCUCACAUUCCCAAAAGGAAGGAGGAUAUCAGGGCUUAAUAUGACUCAAGUACAGCAUGAAAAAAUGGAAUAUGUUUGCAAAUGUCAACACAACUAUUUGUAAAAUAAUUAGAUAUUUAUUAAAUCAUUUUGUGAGAAAUGAAGUGGCUCUGAUCAGACUUAAAUAAAUGGGUUGACUAAUUUUUUUUUUGUUGUUAAUAUUUGAAUGUACCAUGCAACUAGGUUGAUGGAAGUUGUAUAUAAAAGUUAUCCAAAUCACUCAGUAGGAUCAUUUCAAAGAAUCUGAAAAAAGUUAGGAAAAUAAAUUUGAAAUACUGUGGCACUAUGAGUCAACCAGAAUUACAGAGCGUUCAGUAAAUUGGAGUAAAAAAAGAACUGAAGGUAUCAUUUUCAAGUCGAUUGUUGUUAGGUGCCAUCAAGUCUGUUCUGACUCAUAGCCAAACUAUGUAUCACAGAACAAAACACUGCCUGGUCCUGUGCCAUUCUUACAAUCGUUACUAUGCUUGAGCCCAUUGUCGCACCCACUGUGUCAGUCUCUCUCUUUGAGGGUCUUCCUUUUUUUCCACUGAUCCUGUACUGUACCAAGCAUGAUGUCCUUCUCCAGGAACUGAUCUUUCCUGACAACAUGUCCAAAGUAUGUAAGACACAGUCUCGCCAUCCUUGCUUCUAAGGAGCAUUCUGGUUGUACUUCUUCCAAGACAGAUUUGUUCCUUCUCUUGGCAGUGCAUUCAAUAUU
This is a long non-coding RNA of Loxodonta africana (African savanna elephant), 9475 nucleotides long. RefSeq lists it as uncharacterized. The record is from RefSeq and is a predicted model, not a curated record. Lineage: Eukaryota; Metazoa; Chordata; Mammalia; Proboscidea; Elephantidae. The transcript is spliced from 2 exons.